This 684-nucleotide ribosomal RNA is filed under the name uncultured fungus. RNAcentral's name for it is "eukaryotic LSU rRNA". The stretch from base 172 to 325 matches the Rfam family "5.8S ribosomal RNA". Lineage: Eukaryota; Fungi. The record is from RNAcentral.
UUCUUCUGGAGGGCUCAGGGCUCGAGCAUUCACGCGUUUGACAAUCUGCCGCUACUUUUCCAUCAUUGGCCCCCUUUUAUCACUUUUAACCCCUUGUACUUCUUUGUACUGAACCAAUUCUUCGAUGCUCUCUUCUGGAGAGUGACGAAAGAUAUUACGAAACUUAAGAACAACUCUUAGCAACGGAUAUCUUGGUUCCCGCAACGAUGAAGAACGCAGCGAAAUGCGAUACGUAAUGCGAAUUGCAGAAUUCAGUGAAUCAUCAAAUCUUUGAACGCAAAUUGCACUCUCGGGUAUCCCUGGGAGUACGCUUCUUUCAGUAUCGGUUCUAUCUAAACUCGCCUGCGUUUUGAUUUCGAUCAAGGCUAAAGGCGGAAAUUGAGCGUCAUGCUUGAACGAGCGUGUUGCUUGAAGGGUAGAAGCGGUAGUCUUCCCUUUUCUCGUUCACGAGAACUCUGAGUGCGCCGUUCUCUCUUCUCGAAGGAGCUGGAGCAAACUGAGUGACGUGGUUAAGUUCGCCUCCGUGCGACACCACCAUCGUCUCUUAAUCUCAGUGCGCUACAGUUGGACACUGUCUGAGCUGGGAGACAAUCACACUGCUUUGGAAUAAUAACCCAAAACAAAAUCAGAUCUGAAAUGAAGUGAGAGGACCCGCUGAACUUAAGCAUAUCAAUAAGCGGAGGA